UCGGGAAUUUUGGGCAAUGGGCGCAAGCCUGAUCCAGCCAUGCCGCGUGAGUGAUGAAGGCCUUCGGGUCGUAAAGCUCUGUCGUAUGGGACUAACAAAUGAAGGUACCAUGCAAGAAAGGAUCGGCUAACUUCGUGCCAGCAGCCGCGGUAAGACGAGGGAUCCUAGCGUUGUUCGGAAUUAUUGGGCGUAAAGCGGGUGUAGGCGGACUUAUAAGUCAGGUGUGAAAUCCCAGGGCUCAACCCUGGAAGUGCACUUGAUACUGCAAGUCUUGAGUGUGGUAGAGGCUAUUAGAAUUCCUGGUGUAGUGGUGAAAUACGUAGAUAUCAGGAGGAAUACCGGAGGCGAAGGCGGAUAGCUGGGCCAACACUGACGCUGAGACCCGAAAGCGUGGGGAUCAAACAGGAUUAGAUACCCCCGUAGUCCCUGAGCGGGCUGGCAAGGCGCAU
This 449-nucleotide ribosomal RNA is filed under the name uncultured bacterium. RNAcentral describes it as "bacterial SSU rRNA". It matches the Rfam family "Bacterial small subunit ribosomal RNA", at positions 355 to 825 of the family's 1533-position model. The record is from RNAcentral.